This 253-nucleotide ribosomal RNA is filed under the name uncultured bacterium. Its description in RNAcentral is "partial 16S ribosomal RNA". It matches the Rfam family "Bacterial small subunit ribosomal RNA", at positions 524 to 776 of the family's 1533-position model. The record is from RNAcentral.
UACGGAGGGUGCAAGCGUUAUCCGGAUUUACUGGGUUUAAAGGGAGCGCAGGCGGAUUGGUAAGUCAGUGGUGAAAUACCCGUGCUUAACAUGGGAACUGCCAUUGAUACUAUCAGUCUUGAAUGUUGUUGAGGUUUGCGGAAUGGGUCAUGUAGCGGUGAAAUGCAUAGAUAUCUGGAGGAACACCGGUGGCGAAGGCGGCAUCCUGGACCAACACUGACGCUGAGGAGCGAAAGCCAGGGGAGCAAACGGG